CACGUAGGGGGCGAGCGUUGUCCGGAAUUAUUGGGCGUAAAGAGCUCGUAGGCGGUUUGUCGCGUCUGCUGUGAAAACCUAAGGCUCAACCUUGGGCUUGCAGUGGGUACGGGCAGACUAGAGUGCGGUAGGGGUGACUGGAAUUCCUGGUGUAGCGGUGGAAUGCGCAGAUAUCUGGAGGAACACCGGUGGCGAAGGCGGCGUCCUG
RNAcentral lists this ribosomal RNA (208 nucleotides) under uncultured bacterium. RNAcentral's name for it is "partial 16S ribosomal RNA". It matches the Rfam family "Bacterial small subunit ribosomal RNA", at positions 524 to 731 of the family's 1533-position model. The record is from RNAcentral.